RNAcentral lists this ribosomal RNA (471 nucleotides) under uncultured Bacteroides sp. RNAcentral describes it as "bacterial SSU rRNA". It matches the Rfam family "Bacterial small subunit ribosomal RNA", at positions 28 to 488 of the family's 1533-position model. The record is from RNAcentral. Lineage: Bacteria; Pseudomonadati; Bacteroidota; Bacteroidia; Bacteroidales; Bacteroidaceae.
GAUGAACGCUAGCUACAGGCUUAACACAUGCAAGUCGAGGGGCAGCAUGGUCUUAGCUUGCUAAGGCCGAUGGCGACCGGCGCACGGGUGAGUAACACGUAUCCAACCUGCCGUCUACUCUUGGACAGCCUUCUGAAAGGAAGAUUAAUACAAGAUGGCAUCAUGAGUCCGCAUGUUCACAUGAUUAAAGGUAUUCCGGUAGACGAUGGGGAUGCGUUCCAUUAGAUAGUAGGCGGGGUAACGGCCCACCUAGUCUUCGAUGGAUAGGGGUUCUGAGAGGAAGGUCCCCCACAUUGGAACUGAGACACGGUCCAAACUCCUACGGGAGGCAGCAGUGAGGAAUAUUGGUCAAUGGGCGAGAGCCUGAACCAGCCAAGUAGCGUGAAGGAUGACUGCCCUAUGGGUUGUAAACUUCUUUUAUAAAGGAAUAAAGUCGGGUAUGGAUACCCGCUUGCAUGUACUUUAUGAAUA